GAUGAACGCUAGCGGCGUGCCUAACACAUGCAAGUCGAACGUGAGAGGGUACUUGUAUCCUUGAAAGUGGCGGACGGGUGAGUAAGACGUAGGUGACCUGCCUCGAAGUGGGGAUAACCAUUGGAAACGAUGGCUAAUACCGCAUAAGCUGGUGACGAUGGGAAUUGUUAUCAGGAAAGCUUUAGUGCUUUGAGAGGGGCCUACGGCCGAUUAGCUAGUUGGUGAGGUAAAGGCUCACCAAGGCGAUGAUCGGUAGCUGGUCUGAGAGGACGAUCAGCCACACGGGAACUGAGACACGGGUCCCGACUCCUACGGGGGGGCAGCAGUGAGGAAUAUUCGGCAAUGGGGGCAACCCUGACCGAGCAACGCCGCGUGGAGGAUGACGGUUUUCGGAUGUAAACUCCUUUUCUCAGGGAAGAGCGAGGACGGUACCUGAGGAAUAAGUCACGGCUAACUACGUGCCAGCAGCCGCGGUAAGGCACGACUGU
This 488-nucleotide ribosomal RNA is filed under the name uncultured bacterium. Its description in RNAcentral is "bacterial SSU rRNA". It matches the Rfam family "Bacterial small subunit ribosomal RNA", at positions 28 to 532 of the family's 1533-position model. The record is from RNAcentral.